UACGGGGGGGGCAAGCGUUGUUCGGAAUUACUGGGCGUAAAGAGCGCGCAGGCGGUCGUUCAAGUCGAGUGUGAAAGCCCCCGGCUCAACUGGGGAGGGUCAUUCGAUACUGAUCGACUCGAAGGCAGGAGAGGGAAGUGGAAUUCCCGGUGUAGUGGUGAAAUGCGUAGAUAUUGGGAGGAACACCAGUGGCGAAGGCGGCUUUCUGGUCUGCUCUUGACGCUGAGGCGCGAAAGCUAGGGUAGCAAACGGG
Molecule: ribosomal RNA, 253 nt
Filed under: uncultured bacterium
Lineage: Bacteria
Description: partial 16S ribosomal RNA
Rfam family: Bacterial small subunit ribosomal RNA
Source: RNAcentral